GCUUGCUUUGACAACAACAUAUACUAAAAUUGGAACAAUACAAAGAUUAGCAUGGUCCCUGCACAAGGAUGACAUACAAAUUCAUGAAGCGUUUCAUAUUUUU
Molecule: small nuclear RNA, 103 nt
Organism: Suncus etruscus (white-toothed pygmy shrew)
Lineage: Eukaryota; Metazoa; Chordata; Mammalia; Eulipotyphla; Soricidae
Source: RefSeq, a predicted model, not a curated record